GAUGAACGCUAGCGGCAGGCCUAACACAUGCAAGUCGAGGGGUAGUUACUUUCGGGUAAUGAGACCGGCGCACGGGUGCGUAACGCGUAUGCAAUCUACCUUUUACAGGGGAAUAGCCCAGAGAAAUUUGGAUUAAUGCCCCAUAGUAUGUAUGAAUCGCAUGGUUUAUACAUUAAAGUUCCAACGGUAAAAGAUGAGCAUGCGUCCCAUUAGUUAGUUGGUAAGGUAACGGCUUACCAAGACGAUGAUGGUAGGGGUCCUGAGAGGGAGAUCCCCCACACUGGUACUGAGACACGGACCAGACUCCUACGGGAGGCAGCAGUGAGGAAUAUUGGACAAUGGGCGCAAGCCUGAUCCAGCCAUGCCGCGUGCAGGAAGAAGCAUCUAUGGUGUGUAAACUGCUUUUGUACGGGAAGAACACUCCUACGUGUAGGAGCUUGACGGUACUGUAAGAAUAAGGAUCGGCUAACUCCGUGCCAGCA
Molecule: ribosomal RNA, 482 nt
Filed under: uncultured bacterium
Lineage: Bacteria
Description: bacterial SSU rRNA
Rfam family: Bacterial small subunit ribosomal RNA
Source: RNAcentral